This 602-nucleotide small RNA is filed under the name Mycena sp. 7061002. RNAcentral describes it as "eukaryotic LSU rRNA". It matches the Rfam family "Eukaryotic large subunit ribosomal RNA", at positions 70 to 652 of the family's 3401-position model. The record is from RNAcentral. Lineage: Eukaryota; Fungi; Basidiomycota; Agaricomycetes; Agaricales; Mycenaceae.
CAGGAUUCCCCUAGUAACUGCGAGUGAAGCGGGAAAAGCUCAAAUUUAAAAUCUGGCGGUCCCUGUGGUCGUCCGAGUUGUAAUUUAGAGAAGCGUUAUCCGCGCUGGACCGUACACAAGUCUCCUGGAAUGGAGCGUCAUAGAGGGUGAGAAUCCCGUCUUUGGUACGGACUGCCAGGGCAUUGUGAUGCGCUCUCAAAGAGUCGAGUUGUUUGGGAAUGCAGCUCAAAAUGGGUGGUAAAUUCCAUCUAAAGCUAAAUAUUGAGGAGAGACCGAUAGCGAACAAGUACCGUGAGGGAAAGAUGAAAAGAACUUUGGAAAGAGAGUUAAACAGUACGUGAAAUUGCUGAAAGGGAAACGCUUGAAGUCAGUCGCGUCGUCCAGGACUCAGCCUUGCUUUUGCUUGGUGUACUUCUUGUUCGACGGGUCAACAUCAAUUUUGGUCGGUGGAUAAAGGCUUAGAGAAUGUGGCACCUUCGGGUGUGUUAUAGCUCUGGGUCGCAUACAUCGGCUGGGAUUGAGGAACUCAGCACGCCGCAAGGCCGGGUACUUGUACCACGUACGUGCUUAGGAUGUUGGCAUAAUGGCUUUAAUCGACCCGU